This 497-nucleotide ribosomal RNA is filed under the name uncultured bacterium. RNAcentral's name for it is "partial 16S ribosomal RNA". It matches the Rfam family "Bacterial small subunit ribosomal RNA", at positions 28 to 507 of the family's 1533-position model. The record is from RNAcentral.
GAUGAACGCUGGCGGCGUGCCUAAUACAUGCAAGUCGAGCGAACAGAUAAGGAGCUUGCUCCUUUGACGUUAGCGGCGGACGGGUGAGUAACACGUGGGUAACCUACCUAUAAGACUGGGAUAACUUCGGGAAACCGGAGCUAAUACCGGAUAACAUUUUGAACCGCAUGGUUCUAUAGUGAAAGAUGGUUUUUCUAUCACUUAUAGAUGGACCCGCGCCGUAUUAGCUAGUUGGUAAGGUAACGGCUUACCAAGGCAACGAUACGUAGCCGACCUGAGAGGGUGAUCGGCCACACUGGAACUGAGACACGGUCCAGACUCCUACGGGAGGCAGCAGUAGGGAAUAUUCCGCAAUGGGCGAAAGCAUGACGGAGCAACGCCGCGUGAGUGAUGAAGGGUUUCGGAUCGUAAAACUCUGUUAUUAGGGAAGAACAAAUGUGUAAGUAACUAUGCACGUCUUGACGGUACCUAAUCAGAAAGCCACGGCUAACUACGUG